Molecule: ribosomal RNA, 513 nt
Filed under: Candida albicans
Lineage: Eukaryota; Fungi; Ascomycota; Pichiomycetes; Serinales; Debaryomycetaceae
Description: eukaryotic LSU rRNA
Rfam family: 5.8S ribosomal RNA (bases 146-299)
Source: RNAcentral
AUAAUUGAAUUUGGCUUAUUGCACCACAUGUGUUUUUCUUUGAAACAAACUUGCUUUGGCGGUGGGCCCAGCCUGCCGCCAGAGGUCUAAACUUACAACCAAUUUUUUAUCAACUUGUCACACCAGAUUAUUACUUAAUAGUCAAAACUUUCAACAACGGAUCUCUUGGUUCUCGCAUCGAUGAAGAACGCAGCGAAAUGCGAUACGUAAUAUGAAUUGCAGAUAUUCGUGAAUCAUCGAAUCUUUGAACGCACAUUGCGCCCUCUGGUAUUCCGGAGGGCAUGCCUGUUUGAGCGUCGUUUCUCCCUCAAACCGCUGGGUUUGGUGUUGAGCAAUACGACUUGGGUUUGCUUGAAAGACGGUAGUGGUAAGGCGGGAUCGCUUUGACAAUGGCUUAGGUCUAACCAAAAACAUUGCUUGCGGCGGUAACGUCCACCACGUAUAUCUUCAAACUUUGACCUCAAAUCAGGUAGGACUACCCGCUGAACUUAAGCAUAUCAAUAAGCGGAGGAA